Zingiber officinale is the source of this 107-nucleotide small nucleolar RNA. Lineage: Eukaryota; Viridiplantae; Streptophyta; Magnoliopsida; Zingiberales; Zingiberaceae. The record is from RefSeq and is a predicted model, not a curated record.
UAUCCAUGAUGUGGGCAGUAUCUCAGUAUUCCCUUAAAUCUAUCCGAAGCUUCGUAGAGAAAUUCAAAGUCUGUUUGCUUGAAGCUUGCAAUAAGGUUACGGAGGUG